UACGUAGGGUGCGAGCGUUGUCCGGAAUUAUUGGGCGUAAAGGGCUCGUAGGCGGUUUGUCGCGUCGGGAGUGAAAACCUCGGGCUUAACUCGGGGCUUGCUUUCGAUACGGGCAGACUAGAGGUAUGCAGGGGAGAACGGAAUUCCUGGUGUAGCGGUGAAAUGCGCAGAUAUCAGGAGGAACACCGGUGGCGAAGGCGGGUCUCUGGGCCGAUACUGACGCUGAGGAGCGAAAGCGUGGGGAGCGAACAGG
RNAcentral lists this ribosomal RNA (253 nucleotides) under uncultured bacterium. RNAcentral's name for it is "partial 16S ribosomal RNA". It matches the Rfam family "Bacterial small subunit ribosomal RNA", at positions 524 to 776 of the family's 1533-position model. The record is from RNAcentral.